Molecule: ribosomal RNA, 264 nt
Filed under: uncultured bacterium
Lineage: Bacteria
Description: partial 16S ribosomal RNA
Rfam family: Bacterial small subunit ribosomal RNA
Source: RNAcentral
GUCCACGCCCUAAACGAUGCAUAUUUGGUGUGGGCAGUUCAUUCUGUCCGUGCCGGAGCUAACGCGUUAAAUAUGCCGCCUGGGGAGUACAGUCGCAAGGCUGAAACUCAAAGGAAUUGACGGGGGCCCGCACAAGCGGUGGAGCAUGUGGUUCAAUUCGACGCAACGCGAAGAACCUUACCUGGGCUCGAACGGCUGGUCAACGGCGUUGGAAACAGCGCUACCACGCAAGGGGGUCCAGUCGAGGUGCUGCAUGGCUGUCGU